GAUGAACGCUGGCGGCGUGCCUAAUACAUGCAAGUCGAGCGAAUGGAUUAAGAGCUUGCUCUUAUGAAGUUAGCGGCGGACGGGUGAGUAACACGUGGGUAACCUGCCCAUAAGACGGGGAUAACUCCGGGAAACCGGGGCUAAUACCGGAUAACAUUUUGAACCGCAUGGUUCGAAAUUGAAAGGCGGCUUCGGCUGUCACUUAUGGAUGGACCCGCGUCGCAUUAGCUAGUUGGUGAGGUAACGGCUCACCAAGGCAACGAUGCGUAGCCGACCUGAGAGGGUGAUCGGCCACACUGGGACUGAGACACGGCCCAGACUCCUACAGGAGGCAGCAGUAGGGAAUCUUCCGCAAUGGACGAAAGUCUGACGGAGCAACGCCGCGUGAGUGAUGAAGGCUUUCGGGUCGUAAAACUCUGUUGUUAGGGAAGAACAAGUGCUAGUUGAAUAAGCUGGCACCUUGACGGUACCUAACCAGAAAGCCACGGCUAACUACGUGCCAGCCGUCGCAGUAA
RNAcentral lists this ribosomal RNA (515 nucleotides) under uncultured bacterium. RNAcentral describes it as "partial 16S ribosomal RNA". It matches the Rfam family "Bacterial small subunit ribosomal RNA", at positions 28 to 523 of the family's 1533-position model. The record is from RNAcentral.